CAUCAUUAUUUCAAUCUAGGGCUGGGAUCUGGAACCGUAAAACCGGAGGAACCGCACCGAACCGCACCGAAAAACCCGGUUCGGUUCGGUUUUAUGAUAUAUGUGCUUACAUGUUUAUCGGUUCGGUUCCUGAUAAUGCCUUCUCGGUUCGGUUCCGGUGCUUGUUUUUAAAACUUACUUGGAACCGAAUUACAGAUGUCAAAGUAUAAUUGAAUAAUAGGGCCGAGGUUAUUCCUCUAAAAUAAACCCCUUCCCAUGUGAUCAGGCACCAACUUAGUUCCAAAUGCGAUCAGAAAUUCCCAUCUCAUCUCCUAUCCCUUUGAUCAAAACCCUCAAAAACUAUCUCUUCUCUCACACUCUCGAAUUCUCUCAAACCCGCCUCAUGAACACGAAACAUGAAACCCCAAUUGCAUUGAUCAAAACCCAGACGAGCGUCUCGCUUCUCUCAAAGUCUGGAACCCAGAAUCUGGUAAGCUCGCUGUACUCUCCAUCUCUCAUCGAUCUGCAAUUUCACUUUUUCAAUUGGGAGAUCUGAAGUUUGAUCCUCAAUUUCGGUUUCAUUUGUCUUCACUUGCUUCAAUUCUAGCCAUAUCCACUUCCAAAAUUCACAUACAGACAUAACCCUUCACUUACCUCUGGGCCUUUUGUGUCAGCAAUUUGCGGUGGUCGACAAAGCCAGGCAUACAUGACUUUGAGUGCAAGAAUUGAAUUGGGUUUGGUCCUGAAAUCGGUUGCUGCUUUGGUUCUGGAGUUGUUGAUUUUUGUGUUUAGAAAGUGAUGAUGAAGGCUGCUUUGGUUCAGUACUUCCACUACUUUGGAAGUUUGGAUAAUUGGAUCUGUUGGUUAAUUCACUUAAUUGUAACUUUUCAAUUUGUAAGUUUGAAGUUUGAUGUUUGAAAUGGCUGUAACUUAGCUUAAAAGUGAACAAAUUUGUAUUUCUGAUG
Long non-coding RNA from Rosa rugosa (rugosa rose), 944 nucleotides. RefSeq lists it as uncharacterized. NCBI's taxonomy places the organism in Eukaryota, Viridiplantae, Streptophyta, Magnoliopsida, Rosales, Rosaceae. The transcript has 2 exons. The record is from RefSeq and is a predicted model, not a curated record.